UACGUAGGGUGCGAGCGUUGUCCGGAAUUAUUGGGCGUAAAGGGCUCGUAGGCGGUUUGUCGCGUCGGGAGUGAAAACACCGGGCUUAACUCGGUGCUUGCUUUCGAUACGGGCAGACUAGAGGUAUGCAGGGGAGAACCGAAUUCCUGGUGUAGCGGUGAAAUGCGCAGAUAUCAGGAGGAACACCGGUGGCGAAGGCGGUUCUCUGGGCAUGAUCUGACGCUGAGGAGCGAAAGUGUGGGGAGCGAACAGG
This 253-nucleotide ribosomal RNA is filed under the name uncultured bacterium. RNAcentral describes it as "partial 16S ribosomal RNA". It matches the Rfam family "Bacterial small subunit ribosomal RNA", at positions 524 to 776 of the family's 1533-position model. The record is from RNAcentral.